Molecule: ribosomal RNA, 581 nt
Filed under: Ligilactobacillus salivarius
Lineage: Bacteria; Bacillati; Bacillota; Bacilli; Lactobacillales; Lactobacillaceae
Description: bacterial SSU rRNA
Rfam family: Bacterial small subunit ribosomal RNA
Source: RNAcentral
AUGAUACGUAGCCGAACUGAGAGGUUGAUCGGCCACAUUGGGACUGAGACACGGCCCAAACUCCUACGGGAGGCAGCAGUAGGGAAUCUUCCACAAUGGACGCAAGUCUGAUGGAGCAACGCCGCGUGAGUGAAGAAGGUCUUCGGAUCGUAAAACUCUGUUGUUAGAGAAGAACACGAGUGAGAGUAACUGUUCAUUCGAUGACGGUAUCUAACCAGCAAGUCACGGCUAACUACGUGCCAGCAGCCGCGGUAAUACGUAGGUGGCAAGCGUUGUCCGGAUUUAUUGGGCGUAAAGGGAACGCAGGCGGUCUUUUAAGUCUGAUGUGAAAGCCUUCGGCUUAACCGGAGUAGUGCAUUGGAAACUGGAAGACUUGAGUGCAGAAGAGGAGAGUGGAACUCCAUGUGUAGCGGUGAAAUGCGUAGAUAUAUGGAAGAACACCAGUGGCGAAAGCGGCUCUCUGGUCUGUAACUGACGCUGAGGUUCGAAAGCGUGGGUAGCAAACAGGAUUAGAUACCCUGGUAGUCCACGCCGUAAACGAUGAAUGCUAGGUGUUGGAGGGUUUCCGCCCUUCAGUGCCG